Apodemus sylvaticus (European woodmouse) is the source of this 5072-nucleotide long non-coding RNA. RefSeq lists it as uncharacterized. NCBI's taxonomy places the organism in Eukaryota, Metazoa, Chordata, Mammalia, Rodentia, Muridae. The record is from RefSeq and is a predicted model, not a curated record. The transcript is spliced from 4 exons.
CGCGCGCCCGGGUGUCCAUGCUCAGGCGCGCGGCCCGGCCUGGGACGAGCAGGAGGGUGGCCGGCGUGCCGGGAGCCUGGCGUAUGGGGUCACCAUAAAUUCAGAAAAGAAUUAACUCAAAUGGCCAAAGCAAUACAAAUGGAGACAAGGAAAGAUGGGCUAUUAAACCUUAUCUUAGAAGUCAACAGAAUGAUACAAGAUCCAGAGACAUGUUGACUCCCAGGAAGUCUGUCACAACCAGGCACACAGGAUCACAGAAAUGCAGGAGAACACAAUCAAAUUGGUGAAGGAAUUGAACAAAUCUGCUCAGGAUCAAAAAAAAAAAACAAAAAAACAAAUGGAAAUAGAAACAACAAAGAAAUCAAAAAUGGAGGCAACCGUGGAGAUGGAAAAUGUAGGAAAGAGAAAAGGCAUCACAGAUACAAGCAUCUCCAACAAGAGAUAGAAGAGAAACAAGAAAUAGAAGAGAGAAUCUCAUGUGUAGCAGAUAUCAUCAAAGAUAUUGACGCAAUAGUCAAAGAAAACACAAAGUACCAAAAGCUCCUAACCCAAAAACAUCCAGGAAAUUUAGGACACAAUGAAAAAAUCAAAGCCAAGAAUAAGAGUGAAGAUUCCCAAUGCAAAGGGCCAGGAAACAUCUUCAACAAAAUUCUAGAAGAAAACUCCCCUAACCAAAGUAAGAGAUGGUCAUUAACAUACAAGAACCCUACAGAACAACAAAUAGAUUGGACAAGAAAAGAAAUUCCUCCUGUAAAAAAAUAAUUAAAACACUAAAUACACAGAACAAAAAAAUUAUUAAAGGUGGUAAGAGAAAAAGGCCAUGUAACAUAUGAAGGCAGACCUAUCAGAAUUAUACCAGACUUCACAACAAAGACUCUAAAAACUAGAUUAUAGACAGAUGUCAUGCAGACCAUAAGAGAACACACAUGCCAAACCAGGUGACUAAAACCAACAAAACUCUCAAUCACCACAGAUGAAGAAACCAAGAUAUUCUAUGACAAAACCAAAUUUAAACAAUAUAUUUUCACUAAUCCACCGCUAUGGAGGAUAAUGGAAGGAAAAUUCCAACACAAGGAGAGAAACUACACCCAAAAAAAAUCAGGAAAUUAAUCAUCUCACAACAAACUUAAAAGAAGAGAACCAUAUAAACAUAGUACCACCACAAACAACAAAAAUAACAGGAACCAACAAUCAUUUGUCUUUAAUAUCUCUCAACAUCAAUGGACUCAGUUCUCCACUACAAAGACAUAGGCUAACAGACUAGAUACAUAAACAGUUCCCAGCAAUUUUUUGCAUUCAGGAAACACACCUCAGUGACAAAGACAGCCAUUGAGCUAGACUAAAAGGCAGGGAAAAUAUAUUCCAAGAAAAUGGUCCUAAAAAAUGAUCUGGAAUAGUCAUUCUUAUAUCUAAUAAAAUAGACUUUCAAUCAAAAGUUAGCAAAAGAGAUGGGGAAGGAUACUUCAUAUUCAUCAUGGGAAAAAUCUACCAAGAUGAACUCUUGAUUCUGAACUAUAUGCCCCAAAUGCAAGGGCACCCACAUUUGUAACAGAAAUGUUACUAAAGCUCAAAACACACAUUAAACCCCACAAAAUAACAGUGAGAGACUUCAACACCCCACUUUCAUCGAUAGACAGAUCAAGAAACAGAAACUAAACAGAGACACAGUGAAACUAGCAGAAGUUAUGAACCAAAUGGAUUUAACAGAUAUCUACAGAAUAUUUUACCCUAAAACAAACGAAUAUACCUUCAUCUCAGCACCUCACGCUACCUUCUUCAAAAUUGACCACAUAAUUGGAAACAAAAUAAGCAUAAACAGAUACAAGAAGAUUGAAAUAAUCCCACGCAUUCUAUCAGUCACCACAGACUAAGACUGGUAUUCAAUAAUAACAAAAACAACAGAAAGUGCAUAUACGCAUGGAAAUUGCAUAACUCUCUACUCAAUGACAACUUGGACAGGGAAAAUAUAAAGAAUGAAAUUAAAGACUUUCUAGAAUUUAAUGAAAAUGAAGGCACAGCAUACCUAAACUUAUGGGACACAAUGAAAGCAGCGCUAAGAGCAAAUUUCAUAGCACUGAGUAACUUCAUAAAGAAAUUGGGAGAGAUCCUAGACUAGCAACUUAACAGCAUAUCUGAAGGUUCUAAGAACAGAAAGAGGGAAACACACACCCAAGAGCAGUAGAUGGCAGGAAAUAAAUAAACUGAGAGCUGAAAUGAAUGAAAAGAAAUAAAGAAAACUAUACAAAGAAUCAACAAGACUAAGAGUUAAUUCUUUGAGAAAAUCAACAAGAUAGAUAAACCCUUAGCCAGACUAACUAAUGGGCCUGGAUACAGUAUCCAAAUUAACGGAAUCAGAAAUAAAAAGGGACCUGUAACAAUAGAAACUGAGGAAAUUAAAAAAAAAUCAACAAAUCCUACUACAAAAGACUAUAUUCAACAAAACUUGAAAACCUAGAUGCAAUGCAUGGUUUUCUAGACAGAUACCAGAUACCAAAGUUAAAUCAGAACCAGAUAAACUAUCUAAACAGUUAAAUCAGAACCAGACAAACUAUCUAAACAGUCCCAUAAACCCUAUGGAAAUAGAAGCAGUCAUUAAACGUUUCCCAACCAAAACAAGCCCAGGGCCAGAUGGUUUUAGUGCAGAAUUCUAUCAGACCUUCAAAGAAGACCUAAUACCAACACUUCUCAAACAUUUCUACAAAAUAGAAAUACAAGGAACACUAUCUAAUUCAUUAUGUGAAGCCACAAUUACUUUGAUACACAAAGACUCAACAAAGAAAGAGAACUUCAGACCAAUUUUCAUUAUGAAUAUUGAUGCAAAAAUACUCAACAAAUUCUAGCAAAUUGAAUCCAAGAACAUGUCAAAAAUAUCAUUCACCACAACCAAGUGGGCUUCAUCCCAGGGAUGCAGGAAUGGUUCAAUAUAUGAAAACCCAUCAACUUAAUCCUCUAUAUAAACAAACUCAAAGAAAAAAUUAACAUGAUCAUCUCAUUGGAUACUAAAAAAAUCCUUUGAUCUUGGAAAGAUCAGGAAUUCAAGGCAAAUACCUAAACAUAAUAAAAGCAAUAUACAGCAGAGCAACAACCAACAUCAAACUAAAUGGAGAGAAACUCAAAGCAACCCCAUUGUCUUGUCAGGGACAAGACAAGGCUGCCUGCUCUUUCCCUAUUUAUUCAAUAUAGUAGUUGAAGUUCUAACCAGAGCAAUUAGACAACAACAGGAGAUCAAAGGGAUACAAAUUAGAAAGGAAGAAGUCAAGGCAUCACUAUUUGCAGAUGAUACGGUAGUAUGCAAAAACAACCCCCAAAAUUCUACCAGAGAACUCCUACACCUGAUAAACAACUUCAGCAAAGUGACUGGAUAUAAAAUUAACUCAAAUACAUCAGUAGCCUUCCUCUACACAAAGGAUUAAAGAAAAGAAAUUAAGGAAACAACAUCCUUUACAAUAGUCACAAAUAACAUAAAAUUUCUUAGGGCAACUCUAACCAAGCAAGUGAAAGAUUUGUAUGACAAGAAUUUCAAGUCUCUGAGGAAAGAAACUAAAGAAAACCUCAGAAAAUGGAAAGCUCUCUCAUGUUCAUGGAUCAGUAGGGUUAACAUAAGGAAAAUGGCCAUCUUACCAAAAGCAAUCUACAGAUUCAGUGCAAUAUCCAUCAAUUCUUCACAGAUAUAAAAAGAGCAAUUCUCAGUUGCAUCUGAAAUAUCCAGGAUAGCGAAAAAAAUUCUCAACAAUAAAAGAAUUUCUGGGGGAAUCACCAUCCCUGACCUUAAACUCUACUAUGGAGCAAUAGUGAUAAAAACCAUAUGGUAUUGAUCCAGAGACAGGUCGAUCAAUGGAAUAGAAUUGAAGACCCAGAAAUUAACCUACACAUCUAUGGCCACUUAAUCUUUGAAAAAGAAGCAAAAACAAUAUAGUGGAAAGCAUUUUCAACAAGUGAUGAUGGUCUAACUGGAGGAGAAUGGAAAUAGAUGCAGUCUCUAUAUAGGAGAGUGGAAAUAGAUCCAUUAUUUAUCACCUGGCACAAAGCUCAAGUCCAAGUGACCUCAAGGUAAAACCAGAUACACUGAAUCUAAUAAAUCUAACAUAUCAUUGACACGGGGCAAAUUUUCCUGUACAGAACACCAAUGGCUCAGGCUCUAAGAUUGACAAUCGACAAAUGGGACCUCAUGAAACUGAAAAGCUUCUGUAAGGCAAAGGGCACUGUCAAUAAGACAAAACAGCAACCUACAGAUUAGAAAAAGAUCUUUACCAACCCUACAUUCAAUAGAGGGCUAAUAUCCAAAAUAUACAAAGAACUCAAGAAGUUAGACUCCAGAGAAGCAGAUAACCCAGUUAAAAUGGGAUACAGAGCUAAACAAAGAAUUCUCAACUGAAGAAGCUCGAAUGGCUGAGAAGCACCUGAAGAAAUGUUCAACAUCCUUAGUCAUCAGGGAAAUGCAAAUCAAAAUUACCCUUAGAUUCCACUUCACACCAAUCACAAUGGCUAAGAUCAAAAACUGAGAUUACAGCAGAUGCAGGAGAGGAUGUGGAGAAAGAGGAACACUCCUCUAUUGGUAUUGGUAUUGCAAUGGUAUUGCAAGCUGGUACAACCACUCUGGAAAGUAAUCUGGUAGUUCCUCAUAAAACAAAAUUGUUUUACCUGAAGACCUAACUUUAUUACUUCUGGGCAUAUAUCUAAAGAUGCUCCAACAUGUAAUAAGGACACAUGUUCCACUAUGUUCAUAACAGCCUUAUACAUAAUAGCCAGAAGCUGGAAACAACUCAGAUAUUUCUCACUGGAAGAAUAGAUACAGAAAAUGUGUUACGUUUACCAAAUGGAAUACUACUCAGCUAAUAAAAAUGAUGAUCUUAUAAACGUUGUAGGCAAAUGAAUGGAAGUAGAAAAUAUCAUCCUGAGUGAGGUAAUUCAGACCAAAAGGACAUACAUGUAUGCCCUUACUGAUAAGUGGGUAUUAGCCCAAAAGCUCAGAAUACCCACAAUUCAACUCAUAGACCAUAUGAAGCUUAACAAGAAGGAAGGCCACAGUGUGGAUGAUUCAACCCUACUUAGAAGGGGGGAACAAAAUAAUC